Molecule: ribosomal RNA, 1170 nt
Filed under: uncultured organism
Description: bacterial SSU rRNA
Rfam family: Bacterial small subunit ribosomal RNA
Source: RNAcentral
GCUCAGAGUUACGUUGGCGGCGUGCGUAACACAUGCAAGUCGAACGAGAACUGGGGAGCUUGCUCCCCGGGGACAGUGGCGAACGGGUGAGUAACACGUGAGUAAUCUGCCCUCGAGCGGGGGAUAACUCCGCGAAAGCGGAGCUAAUACCGCAUGAAACUUUGGAGCAUAAGCUUUCAAAGUCAAAGCUUUCGGGUGCUUGAGGAUGAGCUCGCGGCCUAUUAGCUUGUUGGUAGGGUAACGGCCUACCAAGGCAACGAUGGGUAGCCGGCCUGAGAGGGUGUCCGGUCACACUGGGACUGCGACACGGCCCAGACUCCUACGGGAGGCAGCAGUGGGGAAUUUUGCGCAAUGGGCGAAAGCCUGACGCAGCGACGCCGCGUGGAGGAUGAAGGUUUNCGGAUUGUAAACUCCUGUCAGAGGUGAAGAAAGCCCUUAUGGGUCUGACGGUAACCUCAGAGGAAGCCCCGGCUAACUACGUGCCAGCAGCCGCGGUAAUACGUAGGGGGCAAACGUUGCUCGGAAUUACUGGGCGUAAAGGGUGCGCAGGUGGCUGAGAAAGUCGUUGAUGAAAUCCCGGGGCUUACCCCCGGAACUGUCUUCGAUACUUCUCAGCUUGAGGAUAGUCGAGGAGAACGGAAUUCCCGGUGGAGCGGUGAAAUGCGUAGAUAUCGGGAGGAACACCAGAGGCGAAGGCGGUACUCUAGGCUGAUCCUGACACUGAGGCACGAAAGCUAGGGGAGCGAACGGGAUUAGAUACCCCGGUAGUCCUAGCUGUAAACGAUGGGCACCUAGAUGUAUCCGCGUCUCAUCGGGAGUGUCAGAAGUUAACGGCGAUAAGUGCCCCGACUGGGGAUUACGGUCGCAAGGCUUGAAACUCAAAGGAAUGACCGGGGGCCCGCACAAGCGAUGGAGCAUGUGCUUUAAUUCGACGCAACGCGAAGAACCUUACCUGGGCGUGAACUGCUGGGUUUAGCUUCCUGAAAGGGAAGUGAACCUGCUUGCAGGAGACCAGCAGAGGUGCUGCAUGGCAGUCGUCAGCUCGUGUCGUGAGAUGAUGGGUUAAGUCCCGCAACGAGCGCAACCCUUGCCUUUAGUUGCCAGCGACUCAUGUCGGGUACUCUAAGGGGACUGCCACGGAUAACGUGGAGGAAGAUGGGGAUGACGUCA